CAGCCAUCUUAGGGAAACGUUUCCCUUCCCCGCAGUCUCCAUUUUAUGUUCCUGACGCAGAAAAUAAAAAGGUCAGUGAUUCCGUGCCGGGCUGGCGGAGCGAGCGCUGCCGCGGGCGCCGGGCGGGCUCGGGACAGGGAUGCUCGCCCUCUGAAGAAUCGUGUUUCCUGGGCUGUUGGGGUCCACUCCGGCUGGCUAUAGACCCUUGCCACACGAUACUUCAUAGACGAAGCUGUAGCAAUGUGCUCUUGGCUGGAAAGUUUUUUAAAUGCUCUGCAACAAAGCAAUCUUUGGCCGCUGCUGGCUGCAGGGGAGCUUUGCCACCCUCCCGCUGUCUCAGCCGAGCAGUGAGGCCGAUGCCACGGUGGAGCUCCAGGAAGGAUCGCAGCAGCCCCUCCCGUCUGUGCGACCCCCGGCACCACGGCCCAAUCCCCUCCUGCGCUGAGGAGCGAGGGAGCCGCCGGAAAGGUGGGAAUCCUGGGGGGGACACGAUGCCCGACAGGCAGGAGGAAUGAUGUGUGGAACUCUAUGACAUUACAAGGCUAAUUAAUUCCUUCAUUAUACUAUAACUAUAUUAUAGAACAUUCCAUUAACAAGAACUAUUACUAACCAGAAAACUCGUGACUGGCUGUAGACCGCCAGUCCACACAGCUCGCACUUGAUGGCUAAUUAACAUAAACAACUAUCACACAGUCCAAUUAAGGACUCGCUUUAGGUAAACGAUUUUAUCAACACAUUCUACGUGUGCAAAACACCAGGAGCAGCAAGUAGAGAUAAGAAUUGUUUUCUCUGCUUCUCUCACAGCUUCCCUCCAUUCAGAGGGAAUGUGAAUACCACAGGAAUCGUUCCCAUGGGAUGCUGCUGCUCCCAGGGCAGGGUCUGUGCCAGCCGGAGCUCUGCCACACACAGAGGGGCAUUACCCGGCCUGGGAGGUUUAGGGGCUGGGCUGGGGUUGGGCAUCUCUGGGUCGCUCUUCCAGCACCAAACCUGCAAACGCUUUCCUGAAAGGGAGAAACACGGCUCGCUAUUUUAAUAAA
This is a long non-coding RNA of Onychostruthus taczanowskii (white-rumped snowfinch), 1037 nucleotides long. RefSeq lists it as uncharacterized. The record is from RefSeq and is a predicted model, not a curated record. NCBI's taxonomy places the organism in Eukaryota, Metazoa, Chordata, Aves, Passeriformes, Passeridae. The transcript is spliced from 3 exons.